UCUCUUAGGGUAUAAUGGCUAAUAUACACACGCUAGAUAUGCUGCUGAUAUCGUAAUCCGUGUGAGAUCUGGGUUCGAUUCCCAGUGAGAGGA
Pluteus cervinus is the source of this 93-nucleotide non-coding RNA. The record is from the annotation of a GenBank genome assembly. NCBI's taxonomy places the organism in Eukaryota, Fungi, Basidiomycota, Agaricomycetes, Agaricales, Pluteaceae.